Molecule: ribosomal RNA, 425 nt
Filed under: Acidobacteriota bacterium
Lineage: Bacteria; Pseudomonadati; Acidobacteriota
Description: Acidobacteria bacterium partial 16S ribosomal RNA
Rfam family: Bacterial small subunit ribosomal RNA
Source: RNAcentral
UGAGGAAUAUUGGUCAAUGGGCGCAGGCCUGAACCAGCCAAGUAGCGUGAAGGAUGAAGGCUCUAUGGGUCGUAAACUUCUUUUAUAUGGGAAUAAAGUUGAGUAUGUAUACUUUUUUGUAUGUACCAUAUGAAUAAGGAUCGGCUAACUCCGUGCCAGCAGCCGCGGUAAUACGGAGGAUCCGAGCGUUAUCCGGAUUUAUUGGGUUUAAAGGGAGCGUAGGUGGAUUGUUAAGUCAGUUGUGAAAGUUUGCGGCUCAACCGUAAAAUUGCAGUUGAAACUGGCAGUCUUGAGUACAGUAGAGGUGGGCGGAAUUCGUGGUGUAGCGGUGAAAUGCUUAGAUAUCACGAAGAACUCCGAUUGCGAAGGCAGCUCACUAGACUGGUGACUGACACUGUGGCUCGAAAGUGUGGGUAUCAAACAGG